GUGCGUGUUAUAGAGCGAAAAAUACGGGGUGUGUGUGUGUGUGUGUGUGUAUAUAUAUAUACACACACACACACACACCGUAUUUUUUGCACCAUAAC
Molecule: non-coding RNA, 98 nt
Organism: Podarcis lilfordi (Lilford's wall lizard)
Lineage: Eukaryota; Metazoa; Chordata; Lepidosauria; Squamata; Lacertidae
Source: the annotation of a GenBank genome assembly